Molecule: microRNA precursor, 198 nt
Filed under: Oryza sativa Japonica Group (Japanese rice)
Lineage: Eukaryota; Viridiplantae; Streptophyta; Magnoliopsida; Poales; Poaceae
Description: MIR812 microRNA precursor family
Rfam family: MIR812 microRNA precursor family
Source: Rfam by way of RNAcentral
AAUAGAUGACGCCGUUGACUUUUUCUCACAACCAUUCGUCUUAUUUAAAAAAUUUACGUAAUUAUAAUUUAUUUUCUUAAGAGUUGUUUUAUCAUUCAUAGUACUUUAAGUGUGAUUUAUAUCUUAUAUAUUUGUAUAAAAUUUUUAAAUAAGACGAAUGGUCAAACAUGUGAGAAAAAAUCAACGGCAUCAUCUAUU